AGUGAACGCUGGCGGUAGGCCUAACACAUGCAAGUCGAACGGCAGCACAGUAAGAGCUUGCUCUUACGGGUGGCGAGUGGCGGACGGGUGAGGAAUACAUCGGAAUCUACUUUUUCGUGGGGGAUAACGUAGGGAAACUUACGCUAAUACCGCAUACGACCUACGUGUGAAAGCAGGGGAUCUUCGGACCUUGCGCGAUUGAAUGAGCCGAUGUCGGAUUAGCUAGUUGGCGGGGUAAAGGCCCACCAAGGCGACGAUCCGUAGCUGGUCUGAGAGGAUGAUCAGCCACACUGGAACUGAAACACGGUCCAGACUCCUACGGGAGGCAGCAGUGGGGAAUAUUGGACAAUGGGCGCAAGCCUGAUCCAGCUAUACCGCGUGGGUGAAGAAGGCCUUCGGGUUGUAAAGCCCUUUUGUUGGGAAAGAAAAGCAGCAGGUUAAUACCACGCUGUUCUGACGGUACCCAAAGAAUAAGCACCGGCUAACUUCGUG
RNAcentral lists this ribosomal RNA (492 nucleotides) under uncultured bacterium. RNAcentral's name for it is "partial 16S ribosomal RNA". It matches the Rfam family "Bacterial small subunit ribosomal RNA", at positions 29 to 507 of the family's 1533-position model. The record is from RNAcentral.